This 245-nucleotide ribosomal RNA is filed under the name uncultured bacterium. RNAcentral's name for it is "partial 16S ribosomal RNA". It matches the Rfam family "Bacterial small subunit ribosomal RNA", at positions 8 to 240 of the family's 1533-position model. The record is from RNAcentral.
AGAGUUUGAUCAUGGCUCAGGAUGAACGCUAGCGACAGGCCUAACACAUGCAAGUCGAGGGGCAGCGGAGAGGUAUCAAUACCUUUGCCGGCGACCGGCGCACGGGUGAGUAACACGUAUGCAAUCCACCUGUAACAGGGGGGAUAACCCGGAGAAAUCCGGACUAAUACCCCAUAAUAUGGGCGCUCCGCAUGGAGAGCCCCAUUAAAGAGAGCAAUUUUGGUUACAGACGAGCAUGCGCUCCA